GGAAGCAGCGUUAUACCACACAGAUUAACUGUCUUAUAGACAGUGAUUCUGCAUAUUGGUCUCAUGCAAAGAAGCACCCAAGGAUAUUUGUUUUUUAGAGAAGGAAGUCGAGUAAUCAGAGGAAACAAGCCUGGUAAAACAAGACACUGAAUGAGUGAUGUUACUUUUACUGCAUUAGGACCUAACUUGUGCUGUCUUUGUGUGAUCGCUGUUGCUCCUUGGAACACUUUCUACAGAGACCCAUACUGCAAAUUCAGCCCUGGAAGAAGCAGUAGAGAUGCCUUCUGGACAGUUUCAUCUCUUCCUUGCAAGCCUGCUAUGAAGGAGCCUCGUGAGAGAAGUCACGCGCACAUAGUGGGAGUCUCUUCCGUUUCCCAUCACGUGCUGCUCAGAGCCUUUGCGUUGAACGUUCAGCCUAUGAUCCUUCCUGUGUGCUUCCCACUCCUGUGGCUUCUUCUCCGUCAACAGAUUCCAACUUGUCAGAACUCAUAAAGUGCACAUGUCACCCUCCACAUGCUUUGUGGUACCCCUGGUCUUGGUUACACCAAUUCUGAAGUGGAGUGCCCAACACGCCUGAUUCCUUGGCUUGAAGGAAAGAACACUGAAUCAGAAGCUAGAAAGCCUGGAUUCGUGUCCCAGGCCUGUGCCACACCACCUGGUGACCUAACAGGUUGUUUUACAACCAUGUUCUACUCUUUCUCUCCCUGAGUGAUAAAUGCAUUCUGAAUUAUACACCCAUAGAAUGUGUGCUCACCUACCCUUCUCCCUAGAUAAAGACUAUUAGUCAUUCAUUCUCACUGUGAAUCAGUUUAAUCAGAUUGUAAGUGGGUGUUGGACAGCAUUGCCAAAUGGAGAAGGCAGGCCUAGAAGAGGCCUAGGAGGAAAGGAAGCAAAGAGGCCAAGGGGAGUCUUUGAUAAGUACCACAGGACUGCACUGGCUUCUAGCAACAGGAAAGAGGAGUCAGGAGCCGGGAGAUCACUGGUCAAAAAAAACUACCUUUGCAAAAACACAGGAAUUUAUCAUGAAAACAAAGAGGUACUUUUGUGAGGUAGAGGACUGUUACCCUCCCUAAACUGAGUUUGAUGUAUUAAGGAGAGAAAGGGAAGAGGUCUCAGACCCUCCUCUAGUUCUUUAUUUUCUGAGAUCACAGAUGUAUCUCCUUGGAUUGUGUUCAGCCUAAAGUGGUUAAAAACACAGAAGUUUAUUUCUCAAAAGAACUUUAAAAGAAAGUCCAAGGCUGGUGUGACAGCUCCAUGGUCAUAGGGACUCAAGCUCCCUUCAACUUUCCGCUCUGCUAUUCUUAGGAUAGAGUCUUCAUCAGAUCAGAUCAGAUCAGUCGCUCAGUCUCGGACACACCUGAGUGACUGAACUGAACUGAACUGAGUAGUAGGUAUAGUCACAUUGAUGGGAAACAGAUCUCCAGAGCUUUUCCAUCUUCGAAAACUAAAACUCUAUUCCAUCAGGGAGCAAGAAAUUUUCCUCUGCCUUUGUAGGUUCUUCUGGCUGGCCUAAGAAUAAAAUUGACAUGAGACAGAUUAAUUGGAGAAAAUCAAACAAAGUUUUGAUAACAUGGAUAUAUAGGAGAGACCCAGAGAAACUAAGUCACCACCAAAAUGGUCUCUGCCCUCACCUUGAAUGCCAUCUUCAGCUAAUGACAAAAGAGCAUGUUGGGUGUAGUGGUUUGGGAUUUCAAAGGGGAGGGAGGCAAUUCAUACUGAAGAUGGAACCAUCAGCAAAUGCUUAAUAAACAGUGUUUGCUGGGCCAGGCAGAGACGAUGGGAUACACAGUAGAUGGGUAUCUCUAGGCCCUGCUAAGUCUCCUUCAUCACAUCCCAUGCAAGUUCUUUGCCAAGUUCUCGGGUGAUCUCUGUAUUUGGGGAACAGGCCCUCUAUCUAAGUUCUUUUAGGCAAGUCAGAGGUUCUUCCUGAGUCUUGGGCCUUGGUUGUUUUCAGCUCAAAAUAAUUGAAGAGACACGUUUUAGGAUAGCAAAUUUUGCUCAUUAAAUAACAACUCCCAGGACCUCCCUGGUGGUCCAGUGGCUAAGACUCCGAGCUCCCAAUGCAGGGGGACUGGGUUUCGAUCCCUGACCAGGGAACUAGAUCCCACGUGCUGCAUCUAAGAUCCUGCGUGCCACAAUGAGACCUGGCACAGCCACAUAAAUAUCUAAACAGAAAAGCAACCCCCAACUCACAGUUCCCUAUUUUUCCCUCCCUUCAGUUCCUGGAAACCACAUUCUACUUUUUGUUUCUAUGAAUUUGACUAGACAAAUAUCUCAUAAAUGAAAUCACAUUAUAUUUGUCUUUCGUGACUGGCUUAUUUCACUUAACAUAAUAUCCUCGAGGUUCAUCCAUGUUGUAGCAUGUGACAGGAUUCCCUUCCUUUCUAAGCCUGAAUAAUAUUUCACUGUAUGUAGAGACCACAUUUUAUGAAUCCUUUCAUACAUCAACGGACAUUUGUGUUGCUUCCGCCUCUGGGCUAUCGUGCAUAAUAUUGUGAUGAAUGCAGGUAUAUAGGUAUCUCUUUGAAACCCAGCUUUCAACCCUUUUGGAUAAAUAUCCAGAAGUGGGAUUGCUGGGUCAUGUGAUAGUUCUAUUUCUAACUUCUUGUGGAACUUCCUUACUGUUUUUUCCUCUUUCAGUUGUAACCCAG
Molecule: long non-coding RNA, 2651 nt
Organism: Bos taurus (domestic cattle)
Lineage: Eukaryota; Metazoa; Chordata; Mammalia; Artiodactyla; Bovidae
Source: Ensembl